UUUCGCGCUAUGAAGUGGAAAAGAGGAAAGGCUCCGCCCACAUAACCCCAAGACGAAGGAGAAAAAAGCAGAGCGAGUGAAGGAAUGGAAACGGCAACAUCCUUUCUGGAAACGGAUGAAUCAGUACAUUCACUGGGGUACCAUGGCGACGUUCUCAUUCUGAGG
Molecule: long non-coding RNA, 165 nt
Organism: Solea solea (common sole)
Lineage: Eukaryota; Metazoa; Chordata; Actinopteri; Pleuronectiformes; Soleidae
Exons: 2
Source: RefSeq, a predicted model, not a curated record